GCUCAACACCAAACCCGAAGGUUUGAGGGAGAAAUGACGCUCAAACAGGCAUGCCCUUUGGAAUACCAAAGGGCGCAAUGUGCGUUCAAAGAUUCGAUGAUUCACGAAUAUCUGCAAUUCAUAUUACUUAUCGCAUUUCGCUGCGUUCUUCAUCGAUGCGAGAACCAAGAGAUCCGUUGUUGAAAGUUUUGACUAUUAGUUAAUCAGUUGACUUAAAUAAAAAUUUGGUUGAGUUUAAUCUCUGGCAGGCCAUGGGCCCACCAAAGCAAAGUUUUCAAAAAAAAAGAAAAACACAUGUGUAAAAAAAUGCAGUUAAGCACUUUCAUUCUGUAAUGAUCCUUCCGCAGGUUCACCUACGGAAACCUUGUUACGACUUUUACUUCCUCUAAAUGACCAAGUUUGACUAGCUUCUCGGUUCCAAGAUGGAGUUGCCCCCUUCUCUAAACCAAUCCGGAAGCCUCACUAAGCCAUUCAAUCGGUAGUAGCGACGGGCGGUGUGUACAAAGGGCAGGGACGUAAUCAACGCAAGCUGAUGACUUGCGCUUACUAGGAAUUCCUCGUUGAAGAGCAAUAAUUACAAUGCUCUAUCCCCAGCACGACGGAGUUUCACAAGAUUUCCCAGACCUCUCGGCCAAGGUUUAUACUCGCUGGCUCCGUCAGUGUAGCGCGCGUGCGGCCCAGAACGUCUAAGGGCAUCACAGACCUGUUAUUGCCUCAAACUUCCAUCGACUUGAAAUCGAUAGUCCCUCUAAGAAGUGACUAUACCAGCAAAUGCUAGCAGCACUAUUUAGUAGGUUAAGGUCUCGUUCGUUAUCGCAAUUAAGCAGACAAAUCACUCCACCAACUAAGAACGGCCAUGCACCACCACCCACAAAAUCAAGAAAGAGCUCUCAAUCUGUCAAUCCUUAUUGUGUCUGGACCUGGUGAGUUUCCCCGUGUUGAGUCAAAUUAAGCCGCAGGCUCCACUCCUGGUGGUGCCCUUCCGUCAAUUCCUUUAAGUUUCAGCCUUGCGACCAUACUCCCCCCAGAACCCAAAGACUUUGAUUUCUCGUAAGGUGCCGAUUGCGUCAAUAAAAGAACAACAACCGAUCCCUAGUCGGCAUAGUUUAUGGUUAAGACUACGACGGUAUCUGAUCAUCUUCGAUCCCCUAACUUUCGUUCUUGAUUAAUGAAAACGUCCUUGGUAAAUGCUUUCGCAGUAGUUAGUCUUCAGUAAAUCCAAGAAUUUCACCUCUGACAACUGAAUACUGAUACCCCCGACCGUCCCUAUUAAUCAUUACGAUGGUCCUAGAAACCAACAAAAUAGAACCAUAACGUCCUAUUCUAUUAUUCCAUGCUAAUAUAUUCGAGCAAAGGCCUGCUUUGAACACUCUAAUUUUUUCAAAGUAAAAGUCCUGGUUCGCCAAAAAGGCUAGCCAGAAGGAAAGGCUCGGCUGGGUCCAGUACGCAUCAAAAAAGAUGGACCGGCCAGCCAAGCCCAAGGUUCAACUACGAGCUUUUUAACUGCAACAACUUUAAUAUACGCUUUUGGAGCUGGAAUUACCGCGGCUGCUGGCACCAGACUUGCCCUCCAAUUGUUCCUCGUUAAGGUAUUUACAUUGUACUCAUUCCAAUUACAAGACCCGAAAGGGCCCUGUAUCGUUAUUUAUUGUCACUACCUCCCCGUGUCGGGAUUGGGUAAUUUGCGCGCCUGCUGCCUUCCUUGGAUGUGGUAGCCGUUUCUCAGGCUCCCUCUCCGGAAUCGAACCCUUAUUCCCCGUUACCCGUUGAAACCAUGGUAGGCCACUAUCCUACCAUCGAAAGUUGAUAGGGCAGAAAUUUGAAUGAACCAUCGCCAGCACAAGGCCAUGCGAUUCGAAAAGUUAUUAUGAAUCAUCAAAGAGCCCGAAGGCAUUGAUUUUUUAUCUAAUAAAUACAUCCCUUCCAAACAGUCGGGAUUUUAAGCAUGUAUUAGCUCUAGAAUUACCACGGUUAUCCAAGUAGUAAGGUACUAUCAAAUAAACGAUAACUGAUUUAAUGAGCCAUUCGCAGUUUCACUGUAUAAUUGCUUAUACUUAGACAUGCAUGGCUUAAUCUUUGAGACAAGCAUAUGACUACUGGCAGGAUCAACCAGAUAACUACAUUAGACACUCAAGAAGAGUGUAAGGAAGUUAUUGUGAUUGCAAGAAACAUAUAGUUUCCGGUGGUGUCGUCGCGGAAAGUGUUUUACUACUCUCUACAACUAGCCACAUCCAUAUAGCCCUCUUUAAGUUCUCCUGGUGUGACUUCCGCUAAACACUGCAAGAACUUAAUCCCCACAGGUUUAACAUGGCCAACCAUGGAGGGAGUUACGCUUGAGAAAUCACAGAAUUGCUUCCGGCUAUUUAACAAGGCAGACCCCCAAAUGGUUUUAGUUGAAACACUUGCUAUCAGCUAGUAAUCCACUAAAUCCGUCAGUGCUUACACACGAAAUCGUUAGAUAUCCGAUGUAAGACUGUUCAGGCUUGUUCCCGUAAAAGAAACUCGCCCAUGUUAUUGUAGCGUAUAGAGCAGCUUGUGAUUGUGCAUCACUUACAGACUCUCUCCACUCAAUAACGUGGCCUUAAACAACUGGAAAUGUCUUGACUGUUGUUGUCAAGACUGUUUUCCAAAUUGUCUUUCUGCUUUCGCAUAAAUAUCCUUUCGCUCAAAUCUUGAGUGCAACUUUCUCGCGUAACCUACUCUUCCAAUCCUACAGUCUAAAAAGAGCUCUUUUUUUUGCUUUUUUUUUCCCCAGGAGAAAAUGAGAGAAUUUUCAAAAACAUGAAAAAAGGUGCAAAAGUGGUCAAAAAUGGCAAAAAAUUGAAAAAUUUUGUAAAAAAAGGCCAAAACUAUGGUAGCGCAGAAAAAAAGAAAUGGGAAAAAUUGGGCUCCAGUACGGCCUAGUGUGAGACCACACCAGAAAUGGGACGGCAUUUAGGUCGAUACUUCGGCUCUAGUGUGGACAUCGUGCUAACUUGGUACGACACAAAAAUGUGGUACCGUGGUGGGUCCUCAACCCAAUCAGGUCCACUUUAGGGCAGUAGUAAACAUAGAAAAUUCCAAAAGUAAAGACACUCUAGAUGGGUUUUGUAAUAGGUAUAUAUUGAUGAAAAAAAGAAAAGAAAAGUUUGAGAGUUUGUUAUGCCAAUGGUGUGGUACGACCACUGUACGAGCAUUGUACCAUCUUCGUGCGAGCUUGAUACAAAAGAGUCUCUCAACACUGUCCGAAAAAAUUUUUACUUGUCAGUAGAGUGUAAGAAUUUUCUUUCUUACGACAAGGUCACGUUAUCUACCCCUACCUAGCAUAGCUACAUGAAAAUGAGAGUAUUUCGGUUGCGGCCAUAUCUAGCAGAAAGCACCGUU
This 3363-nucleotide ribosomal RNA is filed under the name Lodderomyces orthopsilosis Co 90-125. RNAcentral's name for it is "Candida orthopsilosis Co 90-125 25S ribosomal RNA". The record is from RNAcentral. Lineage: Eukaryota; Fungi; Ascomycota; Pichiomycetes; Serinales; Debaryomycetaceae.